UACGGGGGGGGCAAGCGUUGUUCGGAAUUACUGGGCGUAAAGGGUUCGUAGGUGGCUCGCUAAGCCAGACGUGAAAUCCCUCAGCUUAACUGGGGAACUGCGUCUGGGACUGGAGAGCUCGAGUGCAGGAGAGGAAUGCGGAAUUCCAGGUGUAGCGGUGAAAUGCGUAGAUAUCUGGAGGAACACCGGUGGCGAAGGCGGCAUUCUGGACAGUAACUGACUCUGAGGCACGAAGGCUAGGGGAGCGAACGGG
Molecule: ribosomal RNA, 253 nt
Filed under: uncultured bacterium
Lineage: Bacteria
Description: partial 16S ribosomal RNA
Rfam family: Bacterial small subunit ribosomal RNA
Source: RNAcentral